UACGGAGGGUGCAAGCGUUAUCCGGAUUCACUGGGUUUAAAGGGUGCGUAGGAGGGCAGGUAAGUCAGUGGUGAAAUCUCUGAGCUUAACUCAGAAACUGCCAUGGAUACUAUUUGUCUUGAAUAUUGUGGAGGUAAGCGGAAUAUGUCAUGUAGCGGUGAAAUGCUUAGAUAUGACAUAGAACACCAAUUGCGAAGGCAGCUUACUACACAGUUAUUGACGCUGAGGCACGAAAGCGUGGGGAUCAAACAGG
Molecule: ribosomal RNA, 253 nt
Filed under: uncultured bacterium
Lineage: Bacteria
Description: partial 16S ribosomal RNA
Rfam family: Bacterial small subunit ribosomal RNA
Source: RNAcentral